Mesocricetus auratus (golden hamster) is the source of this 1618-nucleotide long non-coding RNA. RefSeq lists it as uncharacterized. The transcript has 3 exons. Lineage: Eukaryota; Metazoa; Chordata; Mammalia; Rodentia; Cricetidae. The record is from RefSeq and is a predicted model, not a curated record.
UGCGGCUGAGGCGGCCAAGCUCCAGAAAACCUUCCCCGAUCAAAGAACUGGGUCAUGUGGGAGCCAACACUGUUUAAAAGGGAGAACCAGUCGCUUUCUCCUGGGAGCAUUUGUGGGGGAUGAUUGUCACUUCAGAACCUUCUUUGCUAAGGCCCUGCUCAGAUGGGUCACUGUGGUCUAGCUCCUCCAGUACUGGGGACCAUGAAUUCUUGGGUGUUGCCGAGCGAUCAGGGAGCUGGGAGGGGGAGCUAGCACACCGUUGAAGCAGCUUACUUUCACAGCUGAGCCAGCCCUGCGGAACAGGUGCUUUUUAAAAAGCCUGUGAAAGUAGAGGCUCCCACUCGGCAGGGAACAGUCACACAGGACAGUUAAAAGUGGCUUCCCAACUUCCGCGGGGCGCACGAGCCAGGGUGGAGACAGGACGAUCGGAGAGUUUGAGAAAGGCCUGGAUCUCCCUGAAAGACUUCCCGCAACCCAACGUCCCAUCACCGUCCCCGGCGCACACGUGAGGCUCAGCAAAGCGUGCCACCUGCCGGGGCUGCAGCUGCUGGUGCAUGGCGAGAGAGAAGCCGAAGAGACUCCCGGGAUCCCCCGAUUUCCGGAUCACGUUGUCCUCACGGGUGUCCAGGUUGAAGGCUGCGCCCAGACGGGCCAGAAGCCCUGCGGACAGGGGUUCAAGACGCACCUAACCGUGCCCAGCUCUUGCGGAUGGAUUGGCGCCACAUACUUGCUGGCUCCCCAGGCACUCGAGCGUCGAAAACGUGACACUAGCACACUUCGAUAGUACUGUGCCGUCUAUCUCGUUCAAUCCUAGGAAGUGGGAUUCCCUUGGCAGAUGAGGAAAGAAAUGGAAACUCAACCUUGCUGACUCUGAGUCCUUUGAUGUGGGGCUCUGGAGUUCAACUAUUUAUUGUCCCCUUUAAUACCCAAAUUUCCUGGUUUAGUUAGAAGAACUGCCUAGAGAUGCUCUUAGGUCCGUGUGGGGUGGCUUGAAGGCUGUGCCACCCGGGCAUAGGGUGAGGCUUCCAGGGAGGUGUUGGUUUUUGAGGCAUCCUUAUUUUAGGAAAGAAAAACUUGUUUCAAGGAUAUGAAGAACUUGGCUGAGAACAAAAGUGUACAUUUUAGUGUCCCAUCGUCCCCAACCCCCAGACAGUGUUUCUCUGUGUAACAGCCCUAGCUGUCCUGGAAUUAGCUCUGUGAACCAGGCUGGCCUCGAUCCACCUGCUGACUGGAAUUAAAGGCAUGUACCUCCACUACCUGGCAUUAGUGCCCCACUUUUAUUACCCUCUGACAUUUAGCACUUUUUUUCAUUAUGAAUGUAGGCAGAAAACCACAAAAGCAGGAGACUAUGUUAUCAAAAAUCCAGUCAUCAAUAGAAAAUAGUUUUCUCCAGGUCAUUAGGUUGUUAUAGAUGUCUCAAAUUACAGUUGUCAUCAUGUAACCCUCUGCUAGAUCUUGAUGUAUGUCAAUAAAGAAGCCACAAUAUAUUACUAUAGCAAAAAAAAAAGUUAACUUUCUGAGAUUUUUAAAAAUAUAAUUGGUUUUCUUCUUAAAAUACAUAUGUUGAUGGGGCAGUGGUGGUGUAUAUGUUUAAUUCCAGCACUUGAAGAUAGAGGCA